UACAUGCAAGUCGAACGAGACCUUCGGGUCUAGUGGCGCACGGGUGCGUAACGCGUGGGAAUCUGCCCUUGGGUUCGGAAUAACUUCGGGAAACUGAAGCUAAUACCGGAUGAUGACGUAAGUCCAAAGAUUUAUCGCCCAGGGAUGAGCCCGCGUAGGAUUAGCUAGUUGGUGGGGUAAAGGCCUACCAAGGCGACGAUCCUUAGCUGGUCUGAGAGGAUGAUCAGCCACACUGGGACUGAGACACGGCCCAGACUCCUACGGGAGGCAGCAGUAGGGAAUAUUGGACAAUGGGCGAAAGCCUGAUCCAGCAAUGCCGCGUGAGUGAUGAAGGCCUUAGGGUUGUAAAGCUCUUUUACCCGAGAUGAUAAUGACAGUAUCGGGAGAAUAA
Molecule: ribosomal RNA, 391 nt
Filed under: Sphingobium sp. D1
Lineage: Bacteria; Pseudomonadati; Pseudomonadota; Alphaproteobacteria; Sphingomonadales; Sphingobiaceae
Description: bacterial SSU rRNA
Rfam family: Bacterial small subunit ribosomal RNA
Source: RNAcentral